CUUAAUUUUACCUCUAAGCCCAUUCCUGGAGAGUUGCUGAGAAAUUCAGCCUUGGUCGGGCUCGGGUCUCCCUUCUCCUACCCUCCAGGGUUUUGUCAGGGCUCUGGGUCUCACCCAGAACCUUCACUUCCUUCAAUGACCACAAAGGAAGGAAGGGCCUUGCCACAAGCUCCUCACCCCAUUAGGGAAGAUCAGGGCCCAUAGCUGCUUUACGGAGGGAAAAUCAGGAGAAAAAUUCAAGGAGGGAGCAUAAAUUCUAUUCAAAAAUAUGUCUUGUUUUUCAUAAAAUCAAGACUAAAGGAAAAUAUAAUUAAACUCUACGUAGCAGAAGUAUAACAUUUUUAGUCUCUUCUUCAAACUUCUCUGCGUUAUUGUUUUUCUACAUGACUAUAAUUCAAGCUACAGACAGGAAAAAAAUUAAGGACUUGUUAAUAGAGUAUACACAUGUGGACAAGACAUAGAGAUGCAAAAUAAAUGCAAAAAGAAGAUGAAAAAUUGGACCACUCAGCAGAACUGAAUAACAACUUUUUAGAUAGCGGGCACAGGUCAAUUGCAUUCACUGAGAGGCUGGCCAGAUUGCUCGAAAAAGUUGUCUAGUGUCUUCUCAGUGCACUGGAAUUUAUUCAUUCAAUCUAUUUCCUACUAGAGUGUUUGGGCUUUUAAAGAAAAAGAAGAGGGCUUACAUGGUAAUUGAAAGAGAAAGAAACCUGCCAACUCAUGCAUGUCUCUCCCUUUAAAAAUAAUGCACAAUUAUAGGCCAUUCCAAUAAAAUUGAGGCUGUUGUUACAACGGACUCAGCAUGAUUUACUGCGAUAACUGGCUACCUAGAACAAAAAUUCCCACUACCCAUUCCAAGUUGCUGAGUUCUUGGGCUUUCGCAAGACACACCAAUGGCUGGCAUCUAAGGCAUGAAGUGAACCUAAGGUCUGAGCAGGACGUGGGGUGGAUUUUUCCUGUUUCCUCCUGCUUGUUCCAGAGGCAAAGAGUCCAGGAGCAUCUCACUAGGAUUUGAGAGGGUAACUGUGAUACCUCAUACUUUUCUUUUCAUGUCUAGUCUUAGAAUUUGACCACUUCAAGAGGAGAUCGGCCAUUAGCAGACUUGCGUGAAGGAAACGGAUCAAUGUGUGCGAUCUCAUGCGCCUGCAUCAUUUAGACGCCACGGACGAGGGCUGCAAUGGAUGCUUUGGCGUGCUGCCAGAUCCCCUCCAGGACUGAGAUCCUCUUUCCCCAGCUGUGGGGAGUGCUGAUGGCG
Molecule: long non-coding RNA, 1252 nt
Filed under: Equus caballus (horse)
Lineage: Eukaryota; Metazoa; Chordata; Mammalia; Perissodactyla; Equidae
Description: lncRNA (ENSECAG00000056946.1)
Source: RNAcentral